AUUGAACGCUGGCGGCAGGCCUAACACAUGCAAGUCGAGCGGAUGAAGGGAGCUUGCUCCUGGAUUCAGCGGCGGACGGGUGAGUAAUGCCUAGGAAUCUGCCUGGUAGUGGGGGAUAACGUCCGGAAACGGGCGCUAAUACCGCAUACGUCCUGAGGGAGAAAGUGGGGGAUCGUCGGACCUCACGCUAUCAGAUGAGCCUAGGUCGGAUUAGCUAGUUGGUGGGGUAAAGGCCUACCAAGGCGACGAUCCGUAACUGGUCUGAGAGGAUGAUCAGUCACACUGGAACUGAGACACGGUCCAGACUCCUACGGGAGGCAGCAGUGGGGAAUAUUGGACAAUGGGCGCAAGCCUGAUCCAGCCAUGCCGCGUGUGUGAAGAAGGUCUUCGGAUUGUAAAGCACUUUAAGUUGGGAGGAAGGGCAGUAAGUUAAUACCUUGCUGUUUUGACGUUACCAACAGAAUAAGCACCGGCUAACUUCGUG
This 484-nucleotide ribosomal RNA is filed under the name uncultured bacterium. RNAcentral's name for it is "partial 16S ribosomal RNA". It matches the Rfam family "Bacterial small subunit ribosomal RNA", at positions 30 to 507 of the family's 1533-position model. The record is from RNAcentral.